AUAGUACUCACUCCGUCCGAAAAUACUUGUCACAGGAAUGGAUGUAUCUAGAUGUAUUUUAAUUCUAGAUACAUUCAUUUUUAUCAAUUUCUGCGAUAAGUAAUUCCGGAAGGAGGGAGUACGAA
RNAcentral lists this microRNA precursor (125 nucleotides) under Hordeum vulgare. RNAcentral's name for it is "microRNA MIR1122". It matches the Rfam family "MIR1120/MIR1122 microRNA precursor family". The record is from RNAcentral. Lineage: Eukaryota; Viridiplantae; Streptophyta; Magnoliopsida; Poales; Poaceae.